UACGAAGGGGGCUAGCGUUGUUCGGAAUUACUGGGCGUAAAGCGUGCGCAGGCGGCUCAUCAAGUCAGAGGUGAAAGCCCAGGGCUCAACCCUGGAACUGCCUUUGAAACUGUUGGGCUUGAGUACGGGAGAGGUGAGUGGAAUUCCGAGUGUAGAGGUGAAAUUCGUAGAUAUUCGGAAGAACACCAGUGGCGAAGGCGGCUCUCUGGCCUGCAACUGACGCUGAGGCGCGAAAGCGUGGGGAGCGAGCAGG
This 253-nucleotide ribosomal RNA is filed under the name uncultured bacterium. RNAcentral describes it as "partial 16S ribosomal RNA". It matches the Rfam family "Bacterial small subunit ribosomal RNA", at positions 524 to 776 of the family's 1533-position model. The record is from RNAcentral.